RNAcentral lists this ribosomal RNA (472 nucleotides) under uncultured bacterium. Its description in RNAcentral is "bacterial SSU rRNA". It matches the Rfam family "Bacterial small subunit ribosomal RNA", at positions 355 to 825 of the family's 1533-position model. The record is from RNAcentral.
UGGGGAAUAUUGGACAAUGGGCGAAAGCCUGAUCCAGCCAUGCCGCGUGUGUGAAGAAGGUCUUCGGAUUGUAAAGCACUUUAAGUUGGGAGGAAGGGCAGUAACCUAAUACGUUGCUGUCUUGACGUUACCGACAGAAUAAGCACCGGCUAACUCUGUGCCAGCAGCCGUGGUAAUACAGAGGGUGCAAGCGUUAAUCGGAAUUACUGGGCGUAAAGCGCGCGUAGGUGGUUUGUUAAGUUGGAUGUGAAAUCCCCGGGCUCAACCUGGGAACUGCAUUCAAAACUGACAAGCUAGAGUAUGGUAGAGGGUGGUGGAAUUUCCUGUGUAGCGGUGAAAUGCGUAGAUAUAGGAAGGAACACCAGUGGCGAAGGCGACCACCUGGACUGAUACUGACACUGAGGUGCGAAAGCGUGGGGAGCAAACAGGAUUAGAUACCCCAGUAGUCCCUGAGCGGGCUGGCAAGGCGCAU